Molecule: ribosomal RNA, 164 nt
Filed under: uncultured bacterium
Lineage: Bacteria
Description: partial 16S rRNA
Rfam family: Bacterial small subunit ribosomal RNA
Source: RNAcentral
UAGGGAAUCUUCCACAAUGGGCGCAAGCCUGAUGGAGCAACACCGCGUGAGUGAAGAAGGGUUUCGGCUCGUAAAGCUCUGUUGUUAGAGAAGAACGUGCGUGAGAGCAACUGUUCACGCAGUGACGGUAUCUAACCAGAAAGUCACGGCUAACUACGCGCCAG